RNAcentral lists this ribosomal RNA (301 nucleotides) under uncultured soil bacterium. RNAcentral describes it as "bacterial SSU rRNA". It matches the Rfam family "Bacterial small subunit ribosomal RNA", at positions 27 to 329 of the family's 1533-position model. The record is from RNAcentral.
GGGACGAACGCUGGCGGCGUGCUUAACACAUGCAAGUCGAGCGGAAAGGCCUUUCGGGGUACUCGAGCGGCGAACGGGUGAGUAACACGUGAGUAAUCUGCCCAUCGCUUCAGGAUAGCCAUCGGAAACGGUGAUUAAUACUGGAUAUGACAUUCCUUCGCAUGUUGGGGUGUGGUAAGUUUUUUCGGCGGUGGAUGUGCUCGCGGCCUAUCAGCUUGGUUGGUGGGUAAUCGGCCUACCAAGGUCUUUGGACGGGUAGCCGGCCUGAGAGGGUGACCGGCACACUGGGACUGAGACACGG